Molecule: ribosomal RNA, 464 nt
Filed under: Vreelandella stevensii
Lineage: Bacteria; Pseudomonadati; Pseudomonadota; Gammaproteobacteria; Oceanospirillales; Halomonadaceae
Description: partial 16S ribosomal RNA
Rfam family: Bacterial small subunit ribosomal RNA
Source: RNAcentral
CCUACGGGUGGCUGCAGUGGGGAAUAUUGGACAAUGGGCGAAAGCCUGAUCCAGCCAUGCCGCGUGUGUGAAGAAGGCCUUCGGGUUGUAAAGCACUUUCAGUGGGGAAGAAAGCCUUGGGGCUAAUACCCUCGAGGAAGGACAUCACCCACAGAAGAAGCACCGGCUAACUCCGUGCCAGCAGCCGCGGUAAUACGGAGGGUGCGAGCGUUAAUCGGAAUUACUGGGCGUAAAGCGCGCGUAGGCGGUCUGAUAAGCCGGUUGUGAAAGCCCCGGGCUCAACCUGGGAACGGCAUCCGGAACUGUCAGGCUAGAGUGCAGGAGAGGAAGGUAGAAUUCCCGGUGUAGCGGUGAAAUGCGUAGAGAUCGGGAGAAUACCAGUGGCGAAGGCGGCCUUCUGGACUGACACUGACGCUGAGGUGCGAAAGCGUGGGUAGCAAACAGGAUUAGAUACCCGGGUAGUC